Molecule: non-coding RNA, 29 nt
Filed under: Macaca fascicularis (crab-eating macaque)
Lineage: Eukaryota; Metazoa; Chordata; Mammalia; Primates; Cercopithecidae
Also listed under: 1 other name
Source: RNAcentral
UGUACAGGUGGGUCCACUAGAUGCUGUGG